CAAGGAACAUGCAACCGAACGGCCGGCAUUCGCCUCCCCGGAAACGGUGUGUGCGCGAAUGCUGAGCUGCGAUCUAAAGUCUAAAACGACUCUCGGCAACGGAUAUCUCGGCUCUCGCAUCGAUGAAGAACGUAGCGAAAUGCGAUACUUGGUGUGAAUUGCA
This 163-nucleotide ribosomal RNA is filed under the name Eurycarpus lanuginosus. Its description in RNAcentral is "5.8S ribosomal RNA". The stretch from base 88 to 163 matches the Rfam family "5.8S ribosomal RNA", at positions 1 to 76 of the family's 154-position model. Lineage: Eukaryota; Viridiplantae; Streptophyta; Magnoliopsida; Brassicales; Brassicaceae. The record is from RNAcentral.